CCUUUAUUCUGGCUCAGGAUGAACGCUAGCGACAGGCUUAACACCUGCAAGUCGAGGGGCAGCGGGGGCGUAGCAAUACGCCUGCCGGCGACCGGCGCACGGGUGAGUAACACGUAUGCAACCUGCCCGUCACAGGGGGAUAAGCGGAAGAAAUUCCGUCUAAUACCGCGUAGCACCUACGGAGGGCAUCCUCUGCAAGUUAAAGAAUUUCGGUGACGGAUGGGCAUGCGGCGCAUUAGCUAGUUGGCGGGGUAACGGCCCACCAAGGCGACGAUGCGUAGGGGUUCUGAGAGGAAGGUCCCCCACACUGGUACUGAGACACGGACCAGACUCCUACGGGAGGCAGCAGUGAGGAAUAUUGGUCAAUGGGCGCGAGCCUGAACCAGCCAAGUCGCGUGAGGGAAGACGGCCCUACGGGUUGUAAACCUCUUUUGCCGGGGAGCAAAUGCGCCACGUGUGGCGCUGCGAGAGUACCCGGAGAAAAAGCAUCGGCUAACUCCGUGCCAGCAGCCGCGGUAAUACGGAGGAUGCGAGCGUUAUCCGGAUUUAUUGGGUUUAAAGGGUGCGUAGGCGGUGCGUUAAGUCAGCGGUAAAAUUGAGGGGCUCAACCCCUUCCCGCCGUUGAAACUGGCGUGCUUGAGCGGGCGAGAAGUACGCGGAAUGCGUGGUGUAGCGGUGAAAUGCAUAGAUAUCACGCAGAACUCCGAUUGCGAAGGCAGCGUACCGGCGCCCAACUGACGCUGAAGCACGAAAGCGUGGGUAUCGAACAGGAUUAGAUACCCUGGUAGUCCACGCAGUAAACGAUGAAUGCUAAUUGUCCGCGGGGAGUGACCUGUGGGUGAUAAAGCGAAAGCGUUAAGCAUUCCACCUGGGGAGUACGCCGGCAACGGUGCAAGUCAAAUGAAUUGACGGA
RNAcentral lists this ribosomal RNA (913 nucleotides) under uncultured Bacteroidota bacterium. RNAcentral's name for it is "bacterial SSU rRNA". It matches the Rfam family "Bacterial small subunit ribosomal RNA", at positions 11 to 917 of the family's 1533-position model. Lineage: Bacteria; Pseudomonadati; Bacteroidota. The record is from RNAcentral.